AUAUUGGUCAAUGGACGCAAGUCUGAACCAGCCAUGCCGCGUGAAGGAUGAAGGUCCUCUGGAUUGUAAACUUCUUUUAUCUGGGACGAAAACGGGAUUUUUAUCUCAAUUGACGGUACCAGAGGAAUAAGCACCGGCUAACUCCGUGCCAGCAGCCGCGGUAAUACGGAGGGUGCGAGCGUUAUCCGGAUUUACUGGGUUUAAAGGGUGCGUAGGUGGGCUUAUAAGUCAGUGGUGAAAUCUCCGAGCUUAACUUGGAAACUGCCGUUGAUACUAUAGGCCUUGAAUUAUCUGGAGGUAAGCGGAAUAUGUCAUGUAGCGGUGAAAUGCUUAGAUAUGACAUAGAACACCAAUUGCGAAGGCAGCUUACUACAUAUAAAUUGACGCUGAGGCGCGAAAGCGUGGGGAGCAAACA
This 415-nucleotide ribosomal RNA is filed under the name uncultured bacterium. Its description in RNAcentral is "bacterial SSU rRNA". It matches the Rfam family "Bacterial small subunit ribosomal RNA", at positions 361 to 774 of the family's 1533-position model. The record is from RNAcentral.